RNAcentral lists this ribosomal RNA (469 nucleotides) under Diaporthe foeniculina. RNAcentral describes it as "eukaryotic LSU rRNA". The stretch from base 154 to 307 matches the Rfam family "5.8S ribosomal RNA". Lineage: Eukaryota; Fungi; Ascomycota; Sordariomycetes; Diaporthales; Diaporthaceae. The record is from RNAcentral.
CCAGAACCCUUUGUGAACUUAUACCUUACUGUUGCCUCGGCGCAGGCCGUCCCCUGAUGGGGUCCCUCUGGAGACAGAGGAGCAGCCGGCCGGUGGCCAAAUUAACCCUGUUUUUAAAACUGAAACUCUGAGUACAAAACAUAAAUGAAUCAAAACUUUCAACAACGGAUCUCUUGGUUCUGGCAUCGAUGAAGAACGCAGCGAAAUGCGAUAAGUAAUGUGAAUUGCAGAAUUCAGUGAAUCAUCGAAUCUUUGAACGCACAUUGCGCCCUCUGGUAUUCCGGAGGGCAUGCCUGUUCGAGCGUCAUUUCAACCCUCAAGCCUGGCUUGGUGUUGGGGCACUGCUUUCUGACGAGAGCAGGCCCUGAAAUAUAGUGGCGAGCUCGCCAGGACUCCGAGCGUAGUAGUUAAACCCUCGCUUUGGAAGGCCUGGCGGUGCCCUGCCGUUAAACCCCAACUUCUGAAAAUU